This 336-nucleotide ribosomal RNA is filed under the name Lactiplantibacillus plantarum. RNAcentral describes it as "bacterial SSU rRNA". It matches the Rfam family "Bacterial small subunit ribosomal RNA", at positions 80 to 411 of the family's 1533-position model. Lineage: Bacteria; Bacillati; Bacillota; Bacilli; Lactobacillales; Lactobacillaceae. The record is from RNAcentral.
UUACAUUUGAGUGAGUGGCGAACUGGUGAGUAACACGUGGGAAACCUGCCCAGAAGCGGGGGAUAACACCUGGAAACAGAUGCUAAUACCGCAUAACAACUUGGACCGCAUGGUCCGAGUUUGAAAGAUGGCUUCGGCUAUCACUUUUGGAUGGUCCCGCGGCGUAUUAGCUAGAUGGUGGGUAACGGCUCACCAUGGCAAUGAUACGUAGCCGACCUGAGAGGGUAAUCGGCCACAUUGGGACUGAGACACGGCCCAAACUCCUACGGGAGGCAGCAGUAGGGAAUCUUCCACAAUGGACGAAAGUCUGAUGGAGCAACGCCGCGUGAGUGAAGA